GUAGUCCUGGCCGUAAACGGUGGACACUAGGUGUUGGAGGCAUCGACCCCUCCAGUGCCGCAGCUAACGCAUUAAGUGUCCCGCCUGGGGAGUACGACCGCAAGGUUGAAACUCAAAGGAAUUGACGGGGGCCCGCACAAGCGGUGGAGCAUGUGGUUUAAUUCGACGCAACGCGAAGAACCUUACCGGGGUUUGACAUGCACGGGACAGGUGUGGAAACACACCCUCCCUUCGGGGUCCGUGCACAGGUGCUGCAUGGCUGUCGUCAGCUCGUGUCGUGAGAUGUUGGGUUAAGUCCCGCAACGAGCGCAACCCUUGUCGCUAGUUGCCAGCGGGUAAUGCCGGGCACUCUAGUGAGACUGCCGGUGGUAAGCCGGA
Molecule: ribosomal RNA, 378 nt
Filed under: uncultured bacterium
Lineage: Bacteria
Description: bacterial SSU rRNA
Rfam family: Bacterial small subunit ribosomal RNA
Source: RNAcentral